GUAGACAGGCCGGCGCGUUAGCCCUGCGCCAUUUGUAAAUGGGCUUCAUGACAGGCUGCAAGGAGGUAAGUGAUCUUGAAUUUAUGAGGUCCUUGCUUGGACGUUGAUAUUUUGUCCUUUUCGAUCUUGCUCCUGCGAACCGGGUCAGACCUUGAUCGGAGCAGCCCUAAACAGGAAUCACGGUGCUUAAAGGGUUGCAAAAUUGAGGAAGAGUAAGGGUAGCUUCAUGAAAGAUUGUGAGCAAACCUCCGGUCUAC
Molecule: signal recognition particle RNA, 257 nt
Filed under: Candidatus Pacearchaeota archaeon CG10_big_fil_rev_8_21_14_0_10_30_48
Lineage: Archaea; Nanobdellati
Description: signal recognition particle sRNA large type
Rfam family: Bacterial small signal recognition particle RNA (bases 108-205)
Source: RNAcentral